This 1723-nucleotide long non-coding RNA is filed under the name Chrysemys picta bellii (western painted turtle). RNAcentral's name for it is "lncRNA (ENSCPBG00000017646.1)". The record is from RNAcentral. Lineage: Eukaryota; Metazoa; Chordata; Testudines; Emydidae.
GCUCCUUGCCCGGGCAUAUCGCCAGCGGAGCCAGCUCUGCUCUGGUUUUUCAGGGCCUUUGCCAUUCCCUGGGGGCCGGUUCACAGCGGUGGGGGGAGGACGAGGGCACGUGCUAUCCUGUCACGGUGCCACCUCCCCGGUUUGGGAUCUUUCAGGGCUCGCAGGUAGCAACGGGGGCCGAGACUCAGAGGGACGGGGGAGCGCAGCGGGGACUGCCCCGGGCUCCGCGCCGCGCUGGAGACAGAGUAAAACCCGGCAUUUCUCCAUAACCGUCCGUACAUCGCCCUCUAGAGGCCCGAAGGGAGCUGACCCGGGAGGGCGAACAGACCCCCUUCGCCCACUCCCCAGCAAGGGCCGCCGCGAUGGGCCCAGAGAGCCAGGGCCGGCCGGGGCGCUGGCUGAGCGCACAGGCGAGGCUGGUUCUAGGCCCCGCAUCCAAGGGCGAGCAGACAAGCCCGGCUGGAGGAGGGGCUCUGCGCGCCUGCCCUGGAGCCGCUUGGCCGGGCGAGUUGGCGUUGCUGGGAGCUACCAGCGAGUCGCACGGGCAGGGGACGGUGGGGAGCCCUGCAGGAGAGCCGCGUGGCUCCGGCUCCAGCUGGCCCCGAUCCUGGGAAAGCAGCGCCCGUCGGAGCUCAUCUUACAUCCCCGUCCAGAGCGCGCCAGCAGCGUGCGAUCGGCAAGACCCGGCCUAGGUGCUCUGCGCCCCCCGACCUCCCCAGCAUUAUUCUCUCCAGUUUCUAAGGAGCCACAUGCCAGAGGGACAAGACCUGCAAUGUGUAGGGGAACCCUGGAAUAGGGAACCAGUCCAAUAUUGGAUACUACCUAAAGAAAGACACCCAGUGGCACCUGCCAUAGGUGCUGCUGAUGGGUCAAGCACCACACUAAGCACAGUGCUGACCUUCAGAGGUGCCGGGCACAGCAUGUAGAAGAGUGGACACUUUUAGAGAGAAGACCACUACCCAAGUGCAUGGGGCGGAAGAGGGAGCAGCCAACAGAAGCUGUUGCAAAUGCAGCCAUCUAAGAGAGAAGGCAAACCUAGCAGCCAGACUGUGAGGAUGCAGGACAAGCAUGUAGCGUGGGGAGCCUGCACUGAGAAGCCCUGUAGCACACCCCUCACCUUAGCCAGGGAAAGAGAAUUAGUUACAUGAAAGUGGGGGACACACUAGGCAGAAGUGUUAGAGUCUGGUGUGCAGUCACAUGUCUGAGGCACUGUGAUGCUGGCAAACCAGGUGCCAGCCUAUACCGAGGUCCCCGUGCCUCACUUGGAUACUGACAAACACAGAGCUGGAAUCAGCCUGGUUCACUGUUAAAACGGGGAUUAGAAUGAUAAAAAAUGUGCUUAGGGUACAGAUUCAUGGAAUGCUUGUAAAUUGCUGCUUGCAUUAAUCUCACCUAUAACAUCUGUAUACAGGUAAUAUGUGAGUGUUUGCACUGCAAGCCUCUGUAACUGUGUAAAUCACCAGCCAGGAGCGAAGCAUUAUCUAGUAUAAAAUACGAGUCUCCAACAGGUGUUAUGUCUGACUCCUGCCUGACAAAGAAGGCCCAUCAACACGAGAAGAACUAUUGUGGAACAUCAGAGGACAAAAGAGUUUGUUGCUUGCUUUCCCCCACACCUCAGGAAGAGGAAAGGUGCAAGUGAAUUCCUCCCAUUAGCUGAGUUUGCAACUUGAAGCAGAAGGGGGGAAGGAAUAAAAACCCUUCACAAGGAGGAACUGUAAUUUUA